This 253-nucleotide ribosomal RNA is filed under the name uncultured bacterium. RNAcentral's name for it is "partial 16S ribosomal RNA". It matches the Rfam family "Bacterial small subunit ribosomal RNA", at positions 524 to 776 of the family's 1533-position model. The record is from RNAcentral.
UACGUAGGGGGCUAGCGUUGUCCGGAUUUAUUGGGCGUAAAGAGCGUGUAGGCGGCCAGAUAGGUCUGCUGUGAAAACUCGAGGCUCAACCUCGAGAUGUCGGCGGAAACCAUUUGGCUAGAGUCCGGAAGAGGAAAGUGGAAUUCCUGGUGUAGCGGUGAAAUGCGCAGAUAUCAGGAAGAACACCCGUGGCGAAGGCGGCUUUCUGGGCAGUGGCUGACGCUGAGGCGCGACAGCGUGGGGAGCAAACAGG